Molecule: ribosomal RNA, 433 nt
Filed under: uncultured bacterium
Lineage: Bacteria
Description: partial 16S ribosomal RNA
Rfam family: Bacterial small subunit ribosomal RNA
Source: RNAcentral
AACGAACGCUGGCGGCAUGCCUAACACAUGCAAGUCGAACGGAACCUCCGGGCUUAGUGGCGCACGGGGGCGUAACGCGGGGUAACCUGCCCUUGGGUUCGCAAUACCUCCCCGAAAGGUGUCCUAAUACCGGUGAAUCUCUUCCGACCAAAGAUCUAUCGCCUUUGGGUGGGCCCGGGUUGGAUUAGCUGGUUGGUAGGGUAAAAGCCUACCAAGGGGACGAUGCAUAGCUGGUCUGAGAGGAUGAUCAGCCACACUGGGACUGAGACACGGACCAGAAUCCUACGGGAGGGAGCAGUGGGGAAUAUUGUAGGAUGGGCGAAAGCCUGAUACAGCAAUGCCGGGUAAGUGAUGAAGGCCUUAGGGUUGUAAAGCUCUUUUACCCGGGAUGAUAAUGACGGUACCGGGAGAAUAAGCACCGGCUAACUCCGUG